This 511-nucleotide ribosomal RNA is filed under the name Mycobacterium gordonae. RNAcentral describes it as "bacterial SSU rRNA". It matches the Rfam family "Bacterial small subunit ribosomal RNA", at positions 1 to 522 of the family's 1533-position model. The record is from RNAcentral. Lineage: Bacteria; Bacillati; Actinomycetota; Actinomycetes; Mycobacteriales; Mycobacteriaceae.
UGGAGAGUUUGAUCCUGGCUCAGGACGAACGCUGGCGGCGUGCUUAACACAUGCAAGUCGAACGGUAAGGCCCUUCGGGGUACACGAGUGGCGAACGGGUGAGUAACACGUGGGUAAUCUGCCCUGCACAUCGGGAUAAGCCUGGGAAACUGGGUCUAAUACCGAAUAGGACCACAGAACACAUGUCCUGUGGUGGAAAGCUUUUGCGGUGUGGGAUGGGCCCGCGGCCUAUCAGCUUGUUGGUGGGGUGAUGGCCCACCAAGGCGACGACGGGUAGCCGGCCUGAGAGGGUGUCCGGCCACACUGGGACUGAGAUACGGCCCAGACUCCUACGGGAGGCAGCAGUGGGGAAUAUUGCACAAUGGGCGAAAGCCUGAUGCAGCGACGCCGCGUGGGGGAUGACGGCCUUCGGGUUGUAAACCUCUUUCACCAUCGACGAAGGUUCGGGUUUUCUCGGAUUGACGGUAGGUGAGAAGAAGCACCGGCCAACUACGUGCCAGCAGCCGCGGUA